Molecule: long non-coding RNA, 401 nt
Filed under: Nicotiana tabacum (common tobacco)
Lineage: Eukaryota; Viridiplantae; Streptophyta; Magnoliopsida; Solanales; Solanaceae
Description: long non-coding RNA (NTAB_LNC018675)
Source: RNAcentral
GUAUUCCCUUGGUCUCCAAGUGUGCACCUGAUAGCCAAUACUUAAAUUGCAUUCCAUUGGUCUCCAGGUGUGCACUUGAUUGCCAAUACUUGAAUUAUAUUCCCUUGUUCUCUAGGUGGGAGCCUAAUUGCUAAAACUUGAAAUGUAUUCCCUUGUUCUCUAGGUGGGCGCUUGAUUGCCAAGACUUGAAAUGUAUUCCCUUGGUCUCCAGUUCUGCGCCUGAUUGCCAAUACUUGAAUUGUAUUCCAUUGUUCUCCAGGUGGGCACCUUAUUUACAAAACUUGAAAUGUAUUCUCUUGUUCUUCAAGUGGACACCUGAUUGCGGAAACAUGGACUAUUUUCCCUUACUCUACAGGUGAACGCCUGAUUGCCAAAACUUGAAUUGUAUUCCCUUGUUUUCC